UACAGAGACUGCAAGCGUUAUUCGGAAUUACUGGGCGUAAAGCGUGCGCAGGCGGCUUUGCAAGACAGAUGUGAAAUCCCCGGGCUUAACCUGGGAACUGCAUUUGUGACUGCAUGGCUGGAGUGCGGCAGAGGGGGAUGGAAUUCCGCGUGUAGCAGUGAAAUGCGUAGAUAUGCGGAGGAACACCGAUGGCGAAGGCAAUCCCCUGGGCCUGCACUGACGCUCAUGCACGAAAGCGUGGGGAGCAAACAGG
RNAcentral lists this ribosomal RNA (253 nucleotides) under uncultured bacterium. RNAcentral describes it as "partial 16S ribosomal RNA". It matches the Rfam family "Bacterial small subunit ribosomal RNA", at positions 524 to 776 of the family's 1533-position model. The record is from RNAcentral.